UACGUAGGGCGCAAGCGUUGUCCGGAAUUAUUGGGCGUAAAGAGCUCGUAGGCGGCUUGUCACGUCGGGUGUGAAAGCCCGGGGCUUAACCCCGGGUCUGCAUUCGAUACGGGCUAGCUAGAGUGUGGUAGGGGAGAUCGGAAUUCCUGGUGUAGCGGUGAAAUGCGCAGAUAUCAGGAGGAACACCGGUGGCGAAGGCGGCCCCCUGGACCGGUACUGACGCUGAGGCGCGAAAGCGAGGGGAGCAAACAGG
RNAcentral lists this ribosomal RNA (253 nucleotides) under uncultured bacterium. Its description in RNAcentral is "partial 16S ribosomal RNA". It matches the Rfam family "Bacterial small subunit ribosomal RNA", at positions 524 to 776 of the family's 1533-position model. The record is from RNAcentral.